RNAcentral lists this ribosomal RNA (740 nucleotides) under Rothia mucilaginosa. Its description in RNAcentral is "bacterial SSU rRNA". It matches the Rfam family "Bacterial small subunit ribosomal RNA", at positions 28 to 776 of the family's 1533-position model. The record is from RNAcentral. Lineage: Bacteria; Bacillati; Actinomycetota; Actinomycetes; Micrococcales; Micrococcaceae.
GACGAACGCGGCGGCGUGCUUAACACAUGCAAGUCGAACGAUGAAGCCUAGCUUGCUAGGUGGAUUAGUGGCGAACGGGUGAGUAAUACGUGAGUAACCUACCUUUAACUCUGGGAUAAGCCCGGGAAACUGGGUCUAAUACCGGAUACGACCAAUCUCCGCAUGGGGUGUUGGUGGAAAGCGUUAUGUAGUGGUUAUAGAUGGGCUCACGGCCUAUCAGCUUGUUGGUGAGGUAACGGCUCACCAAGGCGACGACGGGUAGCCGGCCUGAGAGGGUGACCGGCCACACUGGGACUGAGACACGGCCCAGACUCCUACGGGAGGCAGCAGUGGGGAAUAUUGCACAAUGGGCGCAAGCCUGAUGCAGCGACGCCGCGUGAGGGAUGACGGCCUUCGGGUUGUAAACCUCUGUUAGCAGGGAAGAAGAGAGAUUGACGGUACCUGCAGAGAAAGCGCCGGCUAACUACGUGCCAGCAGCCGCGGUAAUACGUAGGGCGCGAGCGUUGUCCGGAAUUAUUGGGCGUAAAGAGCUUGUAGGCGGUUUGUCGCGUCUGCUGUGAAAGGCCGGGGCUUAACUCCGUGUAUUGCAGUGGGUACGGGCAGACUAGAGUGCAGUAGGGGAGACUGGAAUUCCUGGUGUAGCGGUGGAAUGCGCAGAUAUCAGGAAGAACACCGAUGGCGAAGGCAGGUCUCUGGGCUGUAACUGACGCUGAGAAGCGAAAGCAUGGGGAGCGAACAGG